This 286-nucleotide long non-coding RNA is filed under the name Nicotiana benthamiana. Its description in RNAcentral is "long non-coding RNA (NBEN_LNC023629)". Lineage: Eukaryota; Viridiplantae; Streptophyta; Magnoliopsida; Solanales; Solanaceae. The record is from RNAcentral.
CACAAAGCAUUGCCACACAAGAAUCUUUCAAGAAAGGAAAGAUAUGACCUUUCUGCCUCCAUGUUGCCACACCAACCGAGUAACACAUAAUCAUUUUCUUUUUCCACCAUAUAAUUGCUAUAUUCUUACGCUAUUUACUUUUUCUUUGAGUAUCUCAUCUCUAAUCUUCUAUGGAAUCAGUACUUAAAAUCUACUGAUUCAGUGCACUACAGAAAGGAAAAAGGAAAAAAAAAAUACAAACAAAAUGUGGUGAUAUUCUCUAGGGUUAGUUCUUCCCUACGUGACA